Molecule: ribosomal RNA, 869 nt
Filed under: uncultured bacterium
Lineage: Bacteria
Description: bacterial SSU rRNA
Rfam family: Bacterial small subunit ribosomal RNA
Source: RNAcentral
AGAGUUUGAUCCUGGCUCAGAUUGAACGCUGGCGGCAGGCCUAACACAUGCAAGUCGAGCGGUAGAGAGAAGCUUGCUUCUCUUGAGAGCGGCGGACGGGUGAGUAAUGCCUAGGAAUCUGCCUGGUAGUGGGGGAUAACGUUCGGAAACGGACGCUAAUACCGCAUACGUCCUACGGGAGAAAGCAGGGGACCUUCGGGCCUUGCGCUAUCAGAUGAGCCUAGGUCGGAUUAGCUAGUUGGUGGGGUAAUGGCUCACCAAGGCGACGAUCCGUAACUGGUCUGAGAGGAUGAUCAGUCACACUGGAACUGAGACACGGUCCAGACUCCUACGGGAGGCAGCAGUGGGGAAUAUUGGACAAUGGGCGAAAGCCUGAUCCAGCCAUGCCGCGUGUGUGAAGAAGGUCUUCGGAUUGUAAAGCACUUUAAGUUGGGAGGAAGGGUUGUAGAUUAAUACUCUGCAAUUUUGACGUUACCGACAGAAUAAGCACCGGCUAACUCUGUGCCAGCAGCCGCGGUAAUACAGAGGGUGCAAGCGUUAAUCGGAAUUACUGGGCGUAAAGCGCGCGUAGGUGGUUUGUUAAGUUGGAUGUGAAAUCCCCGGGCUCAACCUGGGAACUGCAUUCAAAACUGACUGACUAGAGUAUGGUAGAGGGUGGUGGAAUUUCCUGUGUAGCGGUGAAAUGCGUAGAUAUAGGAAGGAACACCAGUGGCGAAGGCGACCACCUGGACUAAUACUGACACUGAGGUGCGAAAGCGUGGGGAGCAAACAGGAUUAGAUACCCUGGUAGUCCACGCCGUAAACGAUGUCAACUAGCCGUUGGAAGCCUUGAGCUUUUAGUGGCGCAGCUAACGCAUUAAGUUGACCGC